RNAcentral lists this long non-coding RNA (1463 nucleotides) under Sinocyclocheilus anshuiensis. RNAcentral's name for it is "lncRNA (ENSSANG00000045604.1)". The record is from RNAcentral. Lineage: Eukaryota; Metazoa; Chordata; Actinopteri; Cypriniformes; Cyprinidae.
GCCAAGUUCUCCACCUUUGCAAAUAAGAUAAGAGCACAACUGCAAGAACUCUCCCAGCACUGCGGUAAUGUUUAACCAGAUAAUUAUUCUCUUAGCAGCAGGAAAAGUAAAUGGGCACAAUUUUUUUCAGCCCUGUCAUUUCAAUACUUCAUAUUCAUGUGACAGGACAACAAAAUGGAAGAGACAUUGGAGAAAGAGAUCGCGCCAUUUGAAGUAAAAGAUUCUAAUGAAGGUGGAAUUCGGCUGCGAUUGAGAGACAGAGACCUGUUGAAGAAACGAAAGGCUGAGGCAGAGGAAAAGGCAACCAACCAGUGGGUUUAUGGGGCACAAAGCCUUAAAAGAGUGAAAAAGAAGACCAGUGGUACCCCAGGAAGGAAAGGUCGACCAAGAAAAGAACCGCCUGUAGUUAUUCCAGAAGAUCUCGGUCUGGCUCAGGAAACAGAUCCUUCUCCUGACACACUUCCUAUCACAGAACCUGUAUUACCCACAAUAGCAGAGACACUGCCUUUAUUACCAGCUGAGCCACAACCAGAGCCGGCGCCGGCGCAAGUGGAAACAAUGAGUGAAAAACCUCUGGAGGAGUUUCUGAUUGAGGAUCUGGGGCCUGAUGAGGAGGAAGACAUGCCUCAAAAAAGCUUUAUCAUUGAUACAGGUGAUGACGAGCUGCCAUGUGCUGACCUGAACAGUCAAGUCUCAAUGGCAGUGUAUCCUCCAGCAUCUGCUCCUUCUCAACCUGAGAGUCUAUCUGAGAAUUUAAUCAUCUGAGUGUCACCCUUCUACAGAAAAAUGAAUUUAAUCUAAUUUACUAUUUCAAAGGAUUUCUAAACUGAAACAAGGACAAAUCUAUAUUUAUUAAAAUUCUUCAUGUCUCCAUGUAUAUAUACCACUUAUCAGUACUCUGUCAAACAAAAUCCAUUCUAUACAUAUUAUAAAAUAUAUAAUAAAAUAAAAACCGGAAAUUGUUACAGUAUAGUACUUUUGUGUUCUAUGAUUUUAAAGCAACUAGAUCUUUGCCUUAAGCCUAUAUUACGAAUAAUCUUUGUUUAGUUUGUACAACGGACUAUUUUAAAAUAAAGUGGUUUUAUACUUUGUCUUUGUCUAGUCAUUUCGUCACUGAAUUCUAAAACCAUCACGCUCCUAUGGGAAUCAAUUUUAGUAUGCUAAAGGUGCACCACUGACAGCUAACGGUUGAAAUGGGUACUGCAGUCCAAAUUCAAAAUACAGGAGAGUUGUUUUUCCUCCUCAGACUCGACGCUCACGCGGGUUGCUAGAUUGAGGACAGGAACCAGUGCAAAUAUCAAAGGAAGGAAACAAGCCUUACACGCUGCGGUGCUGGGUAGAUUACUUACAAUUACAAAUUGUAGUCCGUUACUGAUUACAUGAUGAAAACUGCAGUUAGUAACGGAAUCUAGGUUACUAAUUUUAGGUAAAGUAUUCCGACUACUUCUUAGAUUACUUUUAGA